This 253-nucleotide ribosomal RNA is filed under the name uncultured bacterium. Its description in RNAcentral is "partial 16S ribosomal RNA". It matches the Rfam family "Bacterial small subunit ribosomal RNA", at positions 524 to 776 of the family's 1533-position model. The record is from RNAcentral.
UACGUAGGGGGCGAGCGUUGUCCGGAUUUAUUGGGCGUAAAGAGCGUGUAGGCGGCCAGGUAGGUCUGCUGUGAAAACUCGAGGCUCAACCUCGAGACGUCGGCGGAAACCAUCUGGCUAGAGUCCGGAAGAGGAGAGUGGAAUUCCUGGUGUAGCGGUGAAAUGCGCAGAUAUCAGGAGGAACACCUGUGGCGAAAGCGGCUCACUGGACCAUAACUGACGCUGAUGCACGAAAGCUAGGGGAGCAAACAGG